RNAcentral lists this ribosomal RNA (440 nucleotides) under uncultured bacterium. RNAcentral describes it as "partial 16S ribosomal RNA". It matches the Rfam family "Bacterial small subunit ribosomal RNA", at positions 338 to 795 of the family's 1533-position model. The record is from RNAcentral.
CCUACGGGAGGCUGCAGUGGGGAAUAUUGCACAAUGGGCGAAACCCUGAUGCAGCAACGCCGCGUGAGUGAUGAUGGCCUUCGGGUUGUAAAGCUCUGUCUUCAGGGACGAUAAUGACGGUAUCUUAGGAGGAAGCCCCGGCUAACGAAGUACCAGCAGCCUCGGUAAUACGUAGGUGGCGAGCGUUGUCCGGAUUUACUGGGCGUAAAGGGAUCGUAGGCGGACUUUUAAGUGAGAUGUGAAAUACUCGGGCUCAACUUGAGUGCUGCAUUUCAAACUGGAAGUCUAGAGUGCAGGAGAGGAGAAUGGAAUUCCUUGUGUAGCGGUGAAAUGCGUAGAGAUUAGGAAGAACACAAGUGGCGAAGGCGAUUCUCUGGACUGUAACUGACGCUGAGGCUCGAAAGCGUGGGGAGCAAACAGGAUUAGAUACCCUAGUAGUC